AGAGUUUGAUCCUGGCUCAGGACGAACGCUGGCGGCGCGCUUAACACAUGCAAGUCGAGCGAGAACCAGGGCUUCGGCCCUGGGGAAAGCGGCGAACGGGUGAGUAACACGUGGGCAAUCUGCCCUUCACUCUGGGACAAGCCCUGGAAACGGGGUCUAAUACCGGAUAACACUCCUGCCUGCAUGGGCGGGGGUUAAAAGCUCCGGCGGUGAAGGAUGAGCCCGCGGCCUAUCAGCUUGUUGGUGAGGUAGUGGCUCACCAAGGCGACGACGGGUAGCCGGCCUGAGAGGGCGACCGGCCACACUGGGACUGAGACACGGCCCAGACUCCUACGGGAGGCAGCAGUGGGGAAUAUUGCACAAUGGGCGAAAGCCUGAUGCAGCGACGCCGCGUGAGGGAUGACGGCCUUCGGGUUGUAAACCUCUUUCAGCAGGGAAGAAGCGAAAGUGACGGUACCUGCAGAAGAAGCGCCGGCUAACUACGUGCCAGCAGCCGCGGUAAUACGUAGGGCGCAAGCGUUGUCCGGAAUUAUUGGGCGUAAAGAGCUCGUAGGCGGCUUGUCACGUCGGGUGUGAAAGCCCGGGGCUUAACCCCGGGUCUGCAUUCGAUACGGGCUAGCUAGAGUGUGGUAGGGGAGAUCGGAAUUCCUGGUGUAGCGGUGAAAUGCGCAGAUAUCAGGAGGAACACCGGUGGCGAAGGCGGAUCUCUGGGCCAUUACUGACGCUGAGGAGCGAAAGCGUGGGGAGCGAACAGGAUUAGAUACCCUGGUAGUCCACGCCGUAAACGGUGGGAACUAGGUGUUGGCGACAUUCCACGUCGUCGGUGCCGCAGCUAACGCAUUAAGUUCCCCGCCUGGGGAGUACGGCCGCAAGGCUAAAACUCAAAGGAAUUGACGG
Molecule: ribosomal RNA, 897 nt
Filed under: uncultured bacterium
Lineage: Bacteria
Description: bacterial SSU rRNA
Rfam family: Bacterial small subunit ribosomal RNA
Source: RNAcentral